Molecule: long non-coding RNA, 1219 nt
Organism: Cydia splendana
Lineage: Eukaryota; Metazoa; Arthropoda; Insecta; Lepidoptera; Tortricidae
Exons: 3
Source: RefSeq, a predicted model, not a curated record
UAGGGUUCCGUACCCAAAGGGUAAAACGGGACCCUAUUACUAAGACUUCGCUGUCCGUCCGUCCGUCCGUCCGUCCGUCCGUCCGUCCGUCCGUCUGUCACCAGGCUGUAUCUCACGAACCGUGAUAGCUAGACAGUUGAAAUUUUCACAGAUGAUGUAUUUCUGUUGCCGCUAUAACAACAAAUACUAAAAACAGAAUAAAAUAAAGAUUUAAAUGGGGCUCCCAUACAACAAACGUGAUUUUUGACCAAAGUUAAGCAACGUCGGGAGUGGUCAGUACUUGGAUGGGUGACCGUUUUUUUUUGCUUUUUUUUUCGUUUUUUAUUUUUGCAUUAUGGUACGGAACCCUUCGUGCGCGAGUCCGACUCGCACUUGCCCGGUUUUUAAAAUAAGUAAUGUUAACUGAUAAUAAAAAAUAACAACAGUCAAGUAAUGUUCCCAUAGCUGCCAGAAAAGCGCCACUAUCACGCGCACAGCUAAUUUAUUAUUAGACCAAUAAAAGUACAUAAUAGCCAUAAUAGGUCAGAAAAUAUUAGAUACCUAAAUUAUUAAUAGGCCUAAAGCGAAUACGAUUUUUUUCUGUUUAGCUUUGGUAACAGCUAAACUUCUGGCAGAAAAUAAUCAUUACAUGCGUCAGUCCAAGAGUUAGUGCAAGACAUAAGCAAAGCAGUAAAUAUUAUUAUAUUCUACACAAUUAAUUAAUGACUACAGUGCCUACAGAUGUUAUGAUACAAUAAUGAUAAUGAAUUAUACACGGUGUAACAUGAGGAAACCGAAUAAUUUUAACCACGCAUUUCUGAGGUCAAAAGAAGCAAAAAAUGUACUAUGAGUUUAGGUCAAUUUCGCCAAAAAUUUUUUUUUUGUUUUGUUUUUUUCAAUUUUUUGAAUGUAUUUGUACAUUAAAAAUAAAUGUUAUGGGUAAACUUGUCACUGAAAAUUGAUUUUUACAUUUUUUUUUCGUAAAACCUACUUUUUGCAAAGUGUUACUUGUCACUUUUUGACAUCUAUCAAUAAGGAUAUUUAGACUACGUCCCAUAGCAGCAACAUCACCAUCAAAAAUGCCUUCUACACUAUGUAACAAUAAAAACUUGUUUUUAUUUAAAUUAAUAUUAUCUCUGAAACUAGGCGAAUUUCAUAAAAGUUUAUAGGACAUUUUUCUCUCUAAAUAUGAUCAGGAAUACGCUGUUAAAAUUAUUCGGUUCCCUCAUGUUACACCGUG